UGGGGAAUUUUGCACAAUGGGGGAAACCCUGAUGCAGCGACGCCGCGUGAGCGAAGAAGGUUUUCGAAUCGUAAAGCUCUGUCCUAUGAGAAGAUAAUGACGGUAUCAUAGGAGGAAGCCCCGGCUAAAAACGUGCCAGCAGCCGCGGUAAUACGUAUGGGGCGAGCGUUGUCCGGAAUUAUUGGGCGUAAAGGGUACGUAGGCGGUCUAUUAAGUCAGGUGUGAAAGCGUGAGGCUUAACCUCAUUAAGCACUUGAAACUGAUAGACUUGAGUGAAGGAGAGGAAAGUGGAAUUCCUAGUGUAGCGGUGAAAUGCGUAGAUAUUAGGAGGAAUACCGGUGGCGAAGGCGACUUUCUGGACUUUUACUGACGCUCAGGUACGAAAGCGUGGGGAGCAAACAGG
This 403-nucleotide ribosomal RNA is filed under the name Verrucomicrobiota bacterium. RNAcentral's name for it is "Verrucomicrobia bacterium partial 16S ribosomal RNA". It matches the Rfam family "Bacterial small subunit ribosomal RNA", at positions 355 to 776 of the family's 1533-position model. The record is from RNAcentral. Lineage: Bacteria; Pseudomonadati; Verrucomicrobiota.